RNAcentral lists this long non-coding RNA (1272 nucleotides) under Amphibalanus amphitrite. RNAcentral describes it as "uncharacterized LOC122372954". The record is from RNAcentral. Lineage: Eukaryota; Metazoa; Arthropoda; Thecostraca; Balanomorpha; Balanidae.
UCAUCGAUAAGGUGUGCUACAGCUGUGGCCUCAGGGGUCACGUCCGAGUACCUCCGCCAUGUCUCGGCUGAUGGCGACGCGUUACAAGGGUCGGACGCGCAGGAGGGUAGCAGAGAGGACGGCACUAUGCAACCGAGGAGUUCUAGUCCCGGGACCGGUGAGGAGGUGUACAGCAUUUUCACCGUCCGGACCGGCCUCGGUGUCAGGCGACCGCCGCUGAUGGUGCCGGUAGCGCUCGACGGUCAGAAGGUCGAGAUGGAGCUGGACACCGGGGCGACUCUGUCGGUCUGCUCUGACGCCGGGUUUCGGCAGCUCUGGCCCUGUGGAGGGCCGAAGCUGGAACCGUGUUCGGUGAAGCUGAAGACCUACAGCGGUGAGCAGCUGCCAGUCAUGGGGCAGGCUGCAGUGAACGUUCAGUACGGCGGACAGGCUCAGCGACUACCUCUCAUCGUAGUCGAAGGUGGCGGGCCCUGGCUGUUCGGCAGGAACUGGCUGGGACACAUCAGGCUCGACUGGCCCUCCAUCUGUUGAGUGACUGCGGAGACCCGUGUGCAGCCCAUCCUGGACGAGUUCGCUGACGUUUCAAGGAGGAGUUGGGCUGCUAUCGAGGCGGGGAAGUCGGCAUCGACGUAGACCCGGACGUCCACCCUCGUUUCUUCAAGCCUCGCACCGUACCGCUGGCCUUCAGGGAAGCUGUGGACGCCGAGCUGGAGGACCAGAUCCGUGGCGGACUCUGGGAACAGAGUGACACCGAUACCUGCUCCUGAUCCGGUCACGGAGAGCGCCGCUGCAUCUGCACGGCAUGCUCCCGUUCCCGGACAACUGGCCUCCACUCCCGACCGGCUGCCGGCUCCUGAUCGAGCGCCUGCUCCUGGCCGGCCGCCUGUUCCGGCGCCGCCCGGGCUGACCGGAGCGGUGCCCGCGCCGGGUGUGACCACCGUCCCGCCGUCCGCACCCUCUCCCAGCGCGCCGCGGUACCGGCUGAGAGACCGGUCCACCCUGCGGCCCCCAGACCGAUACGUGGCGAGCUAUGAGUAGGCGUUUUGUUUCAGUUGUUAUUUGUUCUGUGAGGUGCAUAUUUAUUUGUUUGUCCAUGCUGUGCAAGUAUUCGGGGUGGAGGAGUGUCAUGGAGCUGAGCUGGCGGCCGCCGCGCCGGUGCACGCGUACUUGCGCUCGUGACAUGCGCUCAUGACACUCGUAUGUGAACCGUGGUGGCGUUGCCUCUGUGACCCGGGGGCUACCUGGCCGGCUCGAAUACAGUUUGGACCGAGA